RNAcentral lists this ribosomal RNA (488 nucleotides) under Pseudomonas sp. CL4.35. RNAcentral describes it as "bacterial SSU rRNA". It matches the Rfam family "Bacterial small subunit ribosomal RNA", at positions 17 to 500 of the family's 1533-position model. The record is from RNAcentral. Lineage: Bacteria; Pseudomonadati; Pseudomonadota; Gammaproteobacteria; Pseudomonadales; Pseudomonadaceae.
CCCUGGCUCAGAUUGAACGCUGGCGGCAGGCCUAACACAUGCAAGUCGAGCGGAUGACAGGAGCUUGCUCCUGAAUUCAGCGGCGGACGGGUGAGUAAUGCCUAGGAAUCUGCCUGGUAGUGGGGGACAACGUUUCGAAAGGAACGCUAAUACCGCAUACGUCCUACGGGAGAAAGCAGGGGACCUUCGGGCCUUGCGCUAUCAGAUGAGCCUAGGUCGGAUUAGCUAGUUGGUGGGGUAAUGGCUCACCAAGGCGACGAUCCGUAACUGGUCUGAGAGGAUGAUCAGUCACACUGGAACUGAGACACGGUCCAGACUCCUACGGGAGGCAGCAGUGGGGAAUAUUGGACAAUGGGCGAAAGCCUGAUCCAGCCAUGCCGCGUGUGUGAAGAAGGUCUUCGGAUUGUAAAGCACUUUAAGUUGGGAGGAAGGGCAGUAACUUAAUACGUUGCCGUCUUGACGUUACCGACAGAAUAAGCACCGGCUAA